This 287-nucleotide long non-coding RNA is filed under the name Chrysemys picta bellii (western painted turtle). RNAcentral's name for it is "lncRNA (ENSCPBG00000026071.1)". The record is from RNAcentral. Lineage: Eukaryota; Metazoa; Chordata; Testudines; Emydidae.
AUGCUGGUGAAGGAAUCCCUGAAGUUCCAGAAGUCCAUGCAGGAAUGGAUUAAGACUAUCAAGUGCCAUUGGCAUGCCACAGCUUGCCCCCACCCUGUCCAGCACCUGAAGUGGCCGUGGGCCUACCUUCCUUCCCAGAGAGGUGGCAGCAGGUACCCUGAUCUACUCCAGGAGCAACAAACGUCAGGGUCUACCAUUUCUGGGUCCCCAUCUCCCUUGCAGGGAUGACAGUAUCUUCUUGGUGGAAUGUUGACCAGACAAACUACAGGCUUGCAACUGCAAGUCUA